CCUACGGGAGGCAGCAGUGAGGAAUAUUGGUCAAUGGGCGGAAGGCUGAACCAGCCAAGCCGCGUGCGGGACGAAGGUCCUACGCGUCGUAAACCUCUUUUGCACGGGGAUAACACCCUCCACGUGAGGAUGUCUGCAGGUACCGUGCGAAUAAGGGCCGGCUAAUUCCGUGCCAGCAGCCGCGGUAAUACGGAGGGCCCGAGCGUUCUCCGGAUUCAUUGGGGUUAAAGGGUGCGUAGGCGGGCUGUCAAGUCAGCUGUAAAAUCCCGGGGAUAAACCGCGCCGCGCAGUUGAAACUGGACGAAUUGAGUUCACAAGAGGAAGGCGGAAUUCGUGGUGUAGCGGUGAAAUGCACAGAUA
Molecule: ribosomal RNA, 360 nt
Filed under: uncultured bacterium
Lineage: Bacteria
Description: partial 16S ribosomal RNA
Rfam family: Bacterial small subunit ribosomal RNA
Source: RNAcentral